Molecule: long non-coding RNA, 8740 nt
Organism: Chinchilla lanigera (long-tailed chinchilla)
Lineage: Eukaryota; Metazoa; Chordata; Mammalia; Rodentia; Chinchillidae
Exons: 10
Source: RefSeq, a predicted model, not a curated record
AGAUACUUAUCUAUGAAUUUUAAUUAAAAAUUAGACCCAGUUAUAUCACAUUGGUACAAAAAAAACUCACCACAGAGCUUAUAUAUAGGAGGUGUGCCUAUGUCAGAAGUUGGGAGGUCAGGAAAAGCUACGCAAAAGAAAUGUCUAGGUGAUUUUUAGGACAAGUAUGGGAGAGCCGAACAGUGUUCCAUACAAAGGGAACAGCAUGUGAGAAGACCCAGAGGCCUGGCACCCUGAGAACAGAAAUAGGUUCUGUGCCACUAGAGUUUGCAGGGUAGGUAACAGAAGACGAACUACAGAGAUGUGCAGGAAACAGAUGCGGAUUGGCAUUAGUUUACUCAGGCUGUUACAACAAAAUGCCAUACACUGACUGACUACAAACAGCAGAAAUUUGCUCUUCAGUUCUGGAGGAUGGGAAGCCAAGAUCAAGGACAGCUGGCAGCUUCUAUGUCUGGUGAGGGCACCGGUUUGAUAGAUGGUGAACUCUUUUAGGCCUAUUUUAUAAGGGCCUAUAAUCACCUUCUAAAAGGUCCCACUUUCUAAUGCCAUCACUAGGGGUUUAGGUUUUACAUAUAAAUUUUGGGAGAACAUAAACAUUCAUAUCAUAGCUAAGUGACAAGAUUGGUAUUUUAAGAUCACCCUGCCUUCAAUGUAGAGAAGGGAUUGAAGAGCAAGACAUGAGUGAGUGACACAUUAGGAAGCUACUACAAUCUCCUAAGUGAAAAAUAUCACUGUGGCCAAGACUGGGUCAGCUUUAGUGGAAAUGGAAAAUGAAUGAAAGGACAUUAAAAAGGCAGGAAGGACAGGACUUAGUGACUGGAUAGCAGAAGGAUGGAUAGAGGAAAGCUUUAAGAAUGUCUCAAGUUUCUCUCUGACAUGCGAAUGUAAAGCCGAGUUGGAUUUGGGACAGAAAGAUGUGUUCAACUUGGGUCACGUUGAAUGAGGUUCCCUUGGGACCUAAGUGGAGGUGUGAAUAUCUACUCAGCUGAGGUCUGGGCUGCAUGUGGCUGUGGGCCCUGAAGACUUGGAGGGAUGAGACAGCUCCAGGCACACCAAUUCUCAAGGGAUAUGAAAGGGAUUCGGCUGUAAAGAGGCUCCGAAGAAGCAGCCAGAGAGAUGGGAAGAAAAUCAGGGGUGCCUGCUAUCACGGGAACCGAAGGAAAGGAGUCGGCCUUCAGUGCUUGCACAUUCUGAUGCAGACAGAUCCCUCACACUUUCUCAGGGGCUGACCUCAUUUAAUCCUUUCAAAGACUGGUGAAAUGGGGGUCAUCACGAUGCAAUUUCAGAAGAGGAAACUAAAGACCACGGGGGGAAGGGGAGGCCAACUUUCCACAGUCAUCAGGGUCGUUGGCACACUUCAUUAGCCGUGUUUGAACCACUGACAAGCCGGGCACGUAGAAUUCUACCGUGCCCUCCAUUCACCUGUACCUUUGCCUAGCACUCUCCGACGGCUCACCUGCAACAUUUCUAGUGCUCACAAGAACCACGACAGUGUGACUUUUACCUCAAGUAAUAUACAAAGGAGGUGCCAGCAAACCAAGAGCAAGUGUGUGGACUGGUCCAACAUCACAUAUCCUAGCAGAUGGCUGGGGUGGGCACUUCGAUCUCCUGGUCCCCAGCCCUCGGCGGUGGCAGUACAGCAGGCGCGAAAGGAGGCGGUGUCUCGGGCGGGAACACCCCGAGGCGCCCCCCGCCCGGCGCUCGCCCCCGCGCAUGCCUGGCCGCUGAGGCGUGAGAGCCACCGCCCCGGGCCCUCCCUCCCGCGCGCCUUGCACAACCAGCCCAGAUAAGUGCUGCGUCUCUGGGCAAUUACCGCCUUCCGCCGCCGGGGCUGGCUGGGCAGAGGGCCAGAGGCCGAGGGACUCGCAACCACCCAAGGAGAGAGGUGCCCGCCGAGCCUUCAGCCACCACUGCGGAGCGCGAUUUCACAACACGGAGACGCGGGGCGGGGGCAGAGGGACGGCGCGGCGUUGUGACGUCACAAGCGACCGCGCCCCCAGGAAGCCCCAUCAGGCCCCGCGCCCCCGGGAGAAAGCGCCUGAAGGAUUGGAAUUCUUUUCUUCCAGAUCAACCCACAUGUAGUACCUGAAAAUCUCAAGACCUCAAAGAGAAGCUUUUGGAGACAGCACUUUUAGAAUCAAGUAGGGAAGUAGUUAUUGAGGGGCAACCUGUUACCCUCAUGUACAGACUGUCCAGGGGAUCAGUUUUGUUGCUGGAGCAGGCUUGGGGAUGGAGACGUACUCAAACCAUUUGUGUAGAGUGAUGAGAACAGGUGGAUGUAUGGAGACCUUACCAAAGUAGUUGCUUUUCCUGGUCACUGGGCAGUGACCAUCAUGUGGCCCUUGUGAACUUAAUGGAUGGUGACUGUGAGGUUGCUCUCAAAUUUUUCAUCCAGAGGCUCAGAGGAAUGGAGACUCACAAAGGCAGUCACUUUCCUGGGGCCCCAGCCUCUUGGAGAUAGGAUGACCAACUUAUCCAGAGGCGUCUUCAUCCCUGAGCCUUCUAAGAUACUUGGCUACAAAACACCAUGAAAAGGUUGCUCGUCCGCAGCCCUGGUCUCGUCUCUACCAUCCCCAGUUUCAUCUGCCCAAGCUGGGACAACCAAAUAUGUCCUCAGAAAUUGCCAAGUAUCUUCAAGGUCUUUCUGGUGAAUGGCCUGGAGCUUUGAGUUCAGUGAACUUUGACUGGUUGUCUUCAGAAGGCUCACCACCUGCCCUUCUGAAGCAGAUAGCCAAGAGGCCAAACUUUGCUACAGUUAAAAUAAGAAGAUUCAUUGCACAAUGAUGUUUGCAUGAAGUUAGGAAAAUACCAUGAAGAAUGAGCUUCAUUUCUGGUACAGCUGUUUCCAAGCGGGUGCUUGAAUGAGGGGGACGGUAAGGUAAAGAAGAUUGGUGCGGGAACCUGGAGGUUUGCGAACCAUCCUGACUGUGCCACUCACACUGUGUGAUAUUCCGAGGUGUUUGUUCUGCUUGUAGCCUCGGUUUUCUUCUCUGUAUAAUGAGAGUUUGAAUUACACAAGCUUCCCAAUCUUGUAGGCAAAUGCUUCGUCUGUCUUUACAGCCUCAUCUCCAACUCAGGACCUGGUUCAGCACUGGAAAUUAAGGCCCCAUGGAGGGAAGAUGGCAUUGACAAGAACUUUGGUAAUGUCAGAGUCUGAAGUUUCAAUUCCUAAAUGAUGAGUUUUCAGGUUAGAAGUUACGAUGUGUUGCAGGGAGAGACCCAAGCACCGCUGUCACGUUAGCCAGGCAUGGAUCCUGGUCCACCUUGGGAGCUGUGGCUGACCUUUGAAGAACUGAUGAACAAGAAUGCCUUUCUCGCUGCUCUUUUUCUUUUAAAUAAUUGCUGGAUGUGGCUAUGGCAAAAUUGGUUCCAAUGUCAGCUCUCAAAGCAUCUGGCACCUUACCUGGCACUUUCUGCUCUGCUUAAGGAAAACAGCCCUCCUGCCUGUUUCCAUCUCCCGAAGCCUGUGCGACCUCUACAGGAAGGUAUAUAUCGAGCCAAGUUCAUUAACUGAGCUGCAGAUCUCUUCACUACAGUUCAGAGGAAAAAAUGGAACUUGCCUUUGGAUGUUACCGUGGGGAUGAAGUUCUGCUCCGUGUGUAAGAUGCUCUGCAUAGCGCCUUGAUACACACCACAUGCUGCCUGUGGUGUUGUUUUGUGGAGGAAUGGCUGUCAGCACUUCUCAAGAGUGUACUAUUCCAUGAACAUAGUAGGGAUCCAUCUGCUGUUCUGAGCACUUCGUUACUUUGUUACCCAGACAUUGGAAGACUCCUGUGGACAUCUGCCCAACCUUUUCUAGUUGCUCUAAUCUUGGAGUCUUGGGACAUGAUGGGAACAGAGUUUCAGCACCAAGUACAAGUUCUGAAUACUCAGAUGAGCCCAAGAAGGGGCAGCGGGUAGGUGUGGCUCAGCAGAAGCACGUAAGGAGGGACUGAAGGAAGAGGCUAGAGAAGUGGGCUUGGGGGAGGCUGGGAUGGCCCUGGUGCCAGGAUAUGGGAUUUAGGCUUUGCCCCAGGGGCAACCAGGACUGUGCUAAGGGUCUCUGAACUUGACUGCUGGAUGGAAAGCGCUCAGACAGGCUGCUUUCUGCUCUACCUUGUCACCUCCAACUGGGCAUCCAGGGCCAGCCUCGAGGGUGACAGUGGGAGCAGCUUCCAAGGCUGGGAGGCAAGAGACACAAGUAAGAGUGUAACUCCCCACUUGGCACUGUGGGUCUGGGGGUGUUCCUUUCUUCUCCACGUCUGUCCCCACAUCUAUAAAAUAGGAGGAACCAUAUUGUUCAGUGGGCUAACCCGUAGGGCUGCAGUGAGGGUUUGGGGAGACAAAGUGUUUCAAAAGGACAUUAAGUUGAGACCCUGCUAUGGGCAAGGUCCUUCGCAUAGUCCUGGGGAAGACUCAGAUGAAUGCCACAAGAUCUUCGCCCUCGAGAGGCUUUAGUCUGCUGGUUAUACACACUGAGCUAAGCCCCUGAAAGAGCCCUUUCCUGCUAUGGGGGAUGAGGGGCUACAGAGGGGAAGGGGGCUUUCGGAAAGUUUCCCUGGAGGAGAUGAGGUCUCCGCUGAGUCCUGAGACACACUUAGGAGAUAGUGGAGGAAGAAGGAAGAAAUGGGUUUUUCAGGCAGAGGAAACAGCAUGAAUAAAGUCAUGGAGAAAUGAACUACCACAGUGUAUAUGGGCAAAUAAGUAAUAAGAGGUAUUAUUAGGAUACUGAAUGUAGGGUGUGGAAGAAAACUUAAUGGACAGUGUUGGUGGCAACAGUGGUUGCAUUUAAACAGAGAACAUAGUGUAAAGCUAAAGAAGCAAAGCUCUAACAAGGGAAUUUGGGAAUUAGCUGGUACAAAGGUUUUUUGUCUCCCCUGAAGUUAGGUCUCUUUGGUACCUAUGAUAGAUUAUGUUGGUGGCGCUGAGAAGAUUGCCAGUCCUGAACACCAAGCAGAGGGGUACCCUCUGUAGCCUGCACACUAAUGGAAGAAUUAGCCAUAAAAGCCAUAAAAGCCAGGGGAUUUAGAAUGGAAUCCUUGGCAUUCCCUGCAUGUGCAGGGCUGGCUAGGCAAGGAGGUUCCCAGGAGAAAACCAGGGAGACCUUUGCCCUCCUCCUGCACUUAGGUGAAAAGCAGAAUUAGAAUAGGGCUGACUGAGUGAUCCGGCUUUUGUGCUUGCACUUCAUGCCUCAGCAUUCAAUCUGCCAUAGUGCAGAAUGCUUAGAGCGUGCAGCUCAGGAGGCUGGCGGUGAGCCCCGGCCGCUGUCGAGGCUUUGGGGGAGCUACUGCGUGCAAACAAGCCUGUGCCAGGGCAUUGGUUCUGUUGUUACCGAGAGAAAGGGGCUUGGCUGUAGCUCUCCAGCUGGUAAUGAACACUGUGCAGUCGGCUACCAUUGGAGGGGGUCUGUCAGCCUGUUCCUCCAGGCCCCCUGGAGCCUCUGAGCUUGGCAACUGGUACCUGCUGUCAGGAGGCCCAGGGAGGAGAGAAGCAAGCGUGGAACUUGGGGUGGAGGGGCAGAGCCAGGACUUAACUCUGCCUUUAACUUAUACUACUGGGUAACCUAGGAUGAGUCCACUCACCUCUCUGAGCUUCAGUUUUCCAGAAAAUAUCCUGCCCUGUGUACCUUCAAGAGCAGAUAAGCAUUAAAUGGGAAAAUAUGUGUGGAAGGGCUUUGCAGUAAAAGAGGUAUCAUUAUCUUUAUUAAAAAGAGGCAGCAGAGAUCUGAUUCUAUACUGAGAAGACCCUGAAAACUCUACCAAAGGACUUUUUGAUGGUGUUAAACAAAUUCAACAAACAGAUACAGAACAAACAAAAACCAGAUUUCCUAUUCACUAAUAAUGAACUUUCUGAGAAGGAAAUCAGGAAACAAUUCCAUUCACAGUAUUUCCAUCUCCAAAGUUAAACAAACAAACACACAAUCAAACAAAUACCCAAAACAUUUCUAAAGGGACAUACUGAAAUACUUAUGGACAAACUAUAUGAUGUCUGAGUUCUGAUUCAAAAUGAGGAAAGCAUGAAAUGCGUGUAGGUAGGAGUGAGACAAGUUGGCCAGAUGUUGGUUGAUAAAACUGGGUGAUAGGUGCUUGAGGGUUCGUUACACAAUUCAGGUUCCUCUUUAUGUUUCCCCAGGUAAAAAGUUAAUUCAAAGAACAUGGGAUUAGGAUCAGACUAACCUGUCUUCACCGAUUUAUAUCUGUGUGAACUUCCAUCUCUCUGAACCUUUUUGCUUGCACUUUAAAUGGGCAUAUAAUAAUAGUACUGGUUCAUAGGCUCUCAUGAUGACCAUAUGUGAAAAUGGUCAUCCAUGCAUGGCAUGUAGCAGAUGCAUGGUGAAUCAUGAUCCAUCCGUUAGAGAGCUUCACCAAUUAUUUGUUACCUGAUGGGUGCACCUGGGUGCUCUGGGCCAGGGGCCAUCUCCUGGGGUGUGGGAAGAGGAGGCUGAUAAACUCCUAGGUUUUUCCACUGGUUGGUGGGCAACCAGCACAGUGGACUGUCCUUGUGGAGACGAAGGGAGCUAAUGUCAUGUUCCUGCCUGUCCUCCUUUCCAUCUGGGGAGACAAGAAGGGGUGCACAGAAUGCACUUGGACUGAGCAUCUUCUCGAUACCAACCACUGAGCUUUAUAGUUGCUAUGAGGUUAGAGCUUUCACUCAGGUUAAGAAACUCGAGAGUAGUUGUACAGCUAGUGGCUAAAGAGGAAGGAGGGAAGUAGGAAGUAACAGAGAGCAGAGUAAGAAUAUAUAGAGACAGGAAGCAAGUGACUCUGGAGGAGUGGAAGAGAGGUUGACAGGGCUGUGAGAGAAGAGGAAAAGGAGGAAUUAGGGGAUAAGAGCCCCCUGCCCUGGGCAUAGUGUGGGGAGAAGUGAGGACAGAAGCAGUCAGUCCUUUCUCCUUCCAUCCCUCCUAGGAGGCAGUUCUUUACCCCUUUAACCUCUGGCCAGGAAGGGUGAGAGAGAUGGGAAGACCAGCCCGAUUCCCUGUAGGUCAUCUUUUCCCAGCAAGGGGAGACCGGUCAGCACUGCGGGGCGGACAGCACCCUGGCCACGCCCUCGGCUGGUUGGCCAUUGCCUACAUUUCCUGGAUUUUAUUGCGCAGUGCUGGAUCUGAGCCCAAGCCACACUCCCAGCUGCAGUCCUUUAGGUGACCAUUCUUCACUGGCUUGGAACCUGACCUAAAGGGCUAGGGUGUGGCAUAUGGUCUCUCACCAGGCGGGCAUGACGUGUGGCAGGACACCUUUCAUCACCAGUCCUGGGCAGGUAGCCCAGGCUUCCAAAAAGUGUAAGAGAGGGCCCUUCCCACAACAGCCCAGGGCCUGGAGAGGUAAGGCAGAUGUGUAUGAAAUCCUUUGAGAGUAAUAGGAGGUGUGUGGAUUAACAUGGGUCAGCAAGCCAGGGAGACCUGUUCUUAAAGCCUCGUGGAGCCCCAGCCCUCCCACUCAUCAGUGUGUGACCCUGAGACAGUCUCUUUGCUGCUCUAAGCCUCCGUUCCCACAGCUGUAAAAUCUUGAGCCAUCUCCACUUCUUUACCUAUUUGCCCCACACGGCUCCCAGAAGCUCUUUGAACACUUGUAGGAUGACGGGUGUGAGCACUGCAUGCUGUGUCCAUGUGAGGGCUUAUUCUUGAGCACCAGUCUAUGUGAGGGCUUAUUCUUGAGCACCGUGUUUCUCUGCUGGGCUGUCACUUUUAUCCAGACAUGACACACGGAACCUCCACAUGAGGGCAGCCCUAGAUCUAUCUCCUCUAAGUUAUUGUUGAGCACUUUCUCUCUUGCCCUGUCCAGGGUCCAUUGUGUGAGACAUACUUGCUCAGCUAUUCUCAGAACAUAACAUGGAAGAAAGAUGAGUGUCUCUUGAAAAACAUCAUUAGCUUCCUUUCAGCAAGAAAAUGAAAAUUAUGUAAUCCACCCUUACUGUCUUUUUGCCUCAGCUGUCAGGAAGCUCAGAGUAAAACGUAAGCUCAAUGAUAACAAUAGAGGUGGUUAUUAUAUCAUUUUCUUCCUCUGCUUUCUACCUGACUUUAAUGUCUCUGCAUUCUUAGAAUAUACUAUUUGCAAAGCUGAUCCAAGGAAAAGAACUGUGUGAAUGGGCCCGAGACAGUCCACUGAGGUCAUCAAGAGCAUUCCUGAUGAAGAUGUGGGAUACCCCUUACAUUCGGUAUUCAUUUCUUGUGGACUAUGUAGUAGCUUACAACUACAGAAAUUUAUUCUCAUGGUCCUGGAGGCUACAAAUCCCAAACUGAGGCACUAGCACUUCCGCUGGAAGCCUCAGGGCAGAAUCCAUUUCUUGCUUCUUCCAUAUCUUGGUGACUGCCAGCAUUCCUUUGCUUGUGCCUACAUCACUGCAAUCUCUGCCUCUGUCUUCACAUCCCCUUCUCAUCUGUUUGUUAUUUUCUCUUCUGCAUCAAAACUUCCCCUGCUGUUUUUGUAAAAGAUUCAUGUGAUUGUGUGUAGGGCCUGAAAUAGGGAUUUAAAAGCUGGUUUUGCUUAAAAACACUGACUUUCCCCUUGGGCCUUGUUAUGGCUUGUAUCUAGAUGUUCCACUAAAGCCUCAUACACUCAUAGGUGACGUUAAUAGAGAUUUUCAGAGGUGGCUGGAUUUAGGGUGUGUGUAUAUGGAUUAAGGGAGUGUGAUAACUAAAUUAGUCUACUGAUCGGUUUAGCAAAGUUCUGGAUAUGGAUAACGGGAAGGCUCACCCUGGGUGUGGGUGGCACCAACCAAUAGGUUGUAACCUGAGUGGAAUAAAAGGAAAGGGAGGCUGGCU